RNAcentral lists this long non-coding RNA (606 nucleotides) under Nicotiana tabacum (common tobacco). RNAcentral describes it as "long non-coding RNA (NTAB_LNC009794)". The record is from RNAcentral. Lineage: Eukaryota; Viridiplantae; Streptophyta; Magnoliopsida; Solanales; Solanaceae.
UUUCCAACCUUCGCUAGACCAUUUCUUUUUGGCCGUGAUAGGUUUAGAAGCUAAUCCUUCCCAACCUUCGGUAGACCAUUUUCUUUUAGUCGUGAUAGGUUUAUAAUCUAAUCCUUCCCAACCUUCGGUAGACCAUUUUCUUUUAGUCGUGAUAGGUUUAGAAGCUAAUCCUUCCCAACCUUCGGUAGACCAUUUCUUCUUGGCCGUAAUAGGUUCAGAAGCUAAUCCUUCCCAACCUUCGGUAGACCAUUUCCUUUUAGUCGUGAUAGUUUCUGAAGGUAUAGCCUCCUGACUUUCUUUCUGGCCUUCUGUACUUUGAUCCUCCUUAUUCUUGAUAUCUCUACAAGGAAUUGUGAUGCUAUUUCCAUUUUCUUCAAUGUUACUUGUCUGAGAAUCCACUUGAAAGGGAGCAGCAGCAUGGCGGAAUAAUUGAUAUCUUAAUGCUGGUAGUUCGACGAGGCCAUCCAUAUAAGCAGAGAUGUAUUCGCUUGUACGCUGGAUACACUUGUAUAUCUGCUUUACUUCUCCUUUCCCAACAGCCCUUGCGACAUUUUGAGAUUGAUCCGUGAAAUCCUCAACCUGUGAAGAUCAAUAUCAGACAUUAAU